RNAcentral lists this ribosomal RNA (428 nucleotides) under Onthophagus dama. RNAcentral's name for it is "partial large subunit ribosomal RNA". It matches the Rfam family "Bacterial large subunit ribosomal RNA", at positions 1857 to 2530 of the family's 2925-position model. The record is from RNAcentral. Lineage: Eukaryota; Metazoa; Arthropoda; Insecta; Coleoptera; Scarabaeidae.
ACCUGCCCUAUGAUAAAGAAUUUAUUAAAUGGCCGCGAUAAUUUGAUCGUGCAAAGGUAGCAUAAUAAUUAGUUUCUUAAUUGGGAACUGGAAUGAAAGGUCGAACGAGAAAGUUACUGUCUCAAUUUAAUUUAUAUUAGAAUUUUAUUUUUAAGUUAAAAAGCUUAAAUAUUUUUUAAAGACGAGAAGACCCUAUAGAGUUUUAUAUUUAUUAUAAUUAGUUUUAUUUUUAGAAUUUAAGUUUAAUAAUUUAUAAUAAGUAUUUGAUUGGGGUGAUUGAAAAAUUUAAUUAACUUUUUUUAAUAGUUUAACAUUAAUAUAUGAUAAAUUGAUCCAUAUUUAUAUGAUUAUAAGAUUAAAUUACCUUAGGGAUAACAGCGUAAUUUUUUUUGAGAGUUCUUAUCGAAAAAAAAGUUUGCGACCUCGAU